Gastrolobium bilobum is the source of this 1220-nucleotide long non-coding RNA. RefSeq lists it as uncharacterized. The transcript is spliced from 6 exons. NCBI's taxonomy places the organism in Eukaryota, Viridiplantae, Streptophyta, Magnoliopsida, Fabales, Fabaceae. The record is from RefSeq and is a predicted model, not a curated record.
UUGAAUUUAUUUUAGAAUUGGAUCAUUUUUAUUUUGCUUUUGAUUGAAUUUUGUAUAGUGAUUGUUCGUUGGGAGUUAAUGAGUUGGAAUGAUGUGGUUUUAAGUCCAAAAUCGUUCGGUGAAGCUAUUGGAAUCUUGUUGCAGUAAGAUCUCAACUACAUAGUUGCAUUCACAGUGUUUGAAAGUGGGCCUUGCCCAUAAUAGUUUCAUUGUGACCAAGCUUAACGUUCUUUAUUCUAAAUAUGCAUUAAUCAGCCAUGCAUAUAAGGUGUUUGAAGAAACUCCUCAUAAAAGUAAAAAGACACAUUCACCGCAAUUAUCUCUUGGGCGGAAAAUAUCUACUCUUGAGAGGUUGCUUGAUUUAUCCAUUCCAAUUCAAUAUACUGAAACUGUGAAUGAAAUCCUAGAAAAGUACAAACAAGGUGAUACAACACUUGGUAAUGAUGCUGAAAGAACAGAGCAUACCUUUACACUUGAGAGCUUCUUCUAUUAUUUUUAUCAGCCAAGACCCUCCAUUGGACAACUUCAGGAUUGAGAACCACAAAGGACUUGCCGAAAUGAUUCAGGAUCAAGAUUAUUGUGAGGAAGCAUGUCAUCUUGCACCAAUCACGUGGUUUUGGCUUGUCACAACCACAUAAGUAUUCACUUGGAAAGCUUGGACGGGAGGGCAAUCAGAGUGAAUGUUGCUGAGGAAAGGCCCAGGCGUAGCUCCUUUUGAGUGGUAACUCAAGCCAGUGAAUUUCUUUUUGAGUUAGGUGUGUUCUCAGCCAAACUCAAAAUUUUACCAAUGAUUGAAGAUGUUGAGGUGCAUUUCAUUUCUUGGAUGACGAAAAGGAUACUAAGGACCUUAUUCAGGACUCUAUAAGGAUGCUAGAGGAAGGUGGUGAAGGGGAGUCAUUUGUAUGCAUUAGAAGACUUCGAUUCCUCUCACAGGUGACAAAGACAUAUAAGGAAUCAACUCUUAACAGAAUUGUGCAAUUGAUUGAAGGCACAACUGAAUAAACCUAAACUUCAAAGGUGGCUGGACGAUUUUGGUGAAAGUUACAGCAAAGUUGUUGUGGUGUUUUCAAUUGUUAUUGCUGUUAUUGGGCCACUUGUAUUUAAGUGGCCAUUCACUAGUACUUCUGGUAAUUUUUAAAUUCUUUUACUCUAGUAUUGUUGUACAAUAUAGUUUAUAAAUUUUGAAAAUUUGUACACAAAUAAUGAUUUCAUGUUGGUGG